AGUAUAUCCAGUACCAGUUGGUGAGGGAGUUGCAACGUAUCCUGUAGGACUUGGACUUGCAGUGGCACUUCCUGCCGGGCUAGGACUCGGUUGAUAUGAACUGAAGCUCUGCUCUGAGCCGUACAUCGUGCCAGGCGUUUGUGGCGUGAAUGGUCCAGUUGAAGGAUAACCUGGCGCAUAACCUGGAGAUCCGCCUUCUUCCAUACUGUAUCCAUCGAAGUCGUUCGUUCUGGCAGGAGUAUUGGUAACAGCUGGAUCCCAGGCACCAGAUUGUCCCGGUGUGCGUGAACCAUCGUGGGAUGGCGUCAUUGAGCCAUAAUGAGGUGUACGAGAACCAUCUGUUCUUCCUCAGGCUCCACCAUCUCUUCAUCACCAGAUCUUGCUUCCUCUGCUUCAUCUUCUCUACCAUCCUCCGAACUAAAGAUUCAAUAAAUCUUUCUAAAUCAUGAUCAAUUCCAUUUUUAAUAAGCAACAUAAUAUGCUAUAAAAUCUAUUUCAGAAUUUUUAUCCAACAUAUACAACUAGGAAUAGCAUACAAGUAUUCCAUAUAGAAAUAUAAACUCAAUGUGUAAUUACAAAAGCAUUAAAAAAAUAUAUAAUAGUUGUUUCAAUAUUUUAUUUCUUCAAAUAAUAUGGUUUAUGUUU
Molecule: unclassified non-coding RNA, 645 nt
Filed under: Bombus terrestris (buff-tailed bumblebee)
Lineage: Eukaryota; Metazoa; Arthropoda; Insecta; Hymenoptera; Apidae
Description: misc RNA ENSBTSG00005037669.1
Source: RNAcentral